Molecule: long non-coding RNA, 819 nt
Organism: Quercus robur (English oak)
Lineage: Eukaryota; Viridiplantae; Streptophyta; Magnoliopsida; Fagales; Fagaceae
Exons: 2
Source: RefSeq, a predicted model, not a curated record
AAAAAAAAAGGUCAAAUUCUUAGACCCACACAUGACACUCCCCACCUACCCACUUAUUCUCAACCACACAUCUUUACAAAUAUCUCUCUCCAUCUUGACCGGCUACCCCUCUUCUUUCACACUCAAAACACAAACACAAACACACAAAUCCCUCCACUUCGCUCUCCCGAAUCUCUCCUUCUCUUGGUCUCUCAGUUAGCUUCUAAAAUUUUAGUCAUCAAACUCUUUUCCAUGGUUUGUCUUCUCCCAACAUGAAUGUAAGCACCAUGCCAUGUGUGGUUUCCCGGUGAUCACCCGAUUUGGUUUCCGUAGUUUUUGUGACAACGGAAUCAGAUCCAGGUCAGUGUCCUUUCACUUUGGAUGACGCAUUUUUCCCUGUUGCCCAUAGGGGGAAGAGGUUCCUUGAUUGUGUGUGAGUGAGGUUGUUGCUUGUGGGGCCAAAAGACCACAUGCAAAAGAGGUCCUAUUUGACGCGCUCUCCCUGCUACCCACGGGGGGAGAGAAAAACCUUGAGAGUAUGGGUGAGGCUGCUAUCCAUGGGGCCAAGAGACUACAUAUCAGAGAGGACAAUAUCAUGCCAGUUGUGAAUGGGUGAAUCCCAUGACCGGUUUAUGUGAUAGUGUGGUAUAUUUGCGAUAAAUUACCUUAUGUUGGAUUUUAUGGCUUUGAAAGUGUAUUGGUAGUGCUCACAGAUUACAGUAUAUAGUUUCAUGGUAUUAUUUUGAGAAACUUUGUGUUUCAUCAUUUAAUCAUUCUUGUCACAUUAUUAUUGAAAAUGAUCUUAUUGCAGGACUCAGUUAGAAAUUUCUCAAACUAAAA